Molecule: ribosomal RNA, 538 nt
Filed under: uncultured bacterium
Lineage: Bacteria
Description: bacterial SSU rRNA
Rfam family: Bacterial small subunit ribosomal RNA
Source: RNAcentral
UUAACACAUGCAAGUCGAGGGGUAACAGGGGUUGCUUGCAACCCGCUGACGACCGGCGCACGGGUGCGUAACGCGUAUACAAUCUACCUUCUGCUGAGGAAUAGCCCAGAGAAAUUUGGAUUAAUGCCUCAUAGUAUGUAGAGGUGGCAUCACUUUUACAUUAAAGGUUACGGCAAAAGAUGAGUAUGCGUUCUAUUAGCUAGAUGGUGUGGUAACGGCACACCAUGGCAACGAUAGAUAGGGGCCCUGAGAGGGGGAUCCCCCACACUGGUACUGAGACACGGACCAGACUCCUACGGGAGGCAGCAGUGAGGAAUAUUGGGCAAUGGAGGCAACUCUGACCCAGCCAUGCCGCGUGCAGGAAGACUGCCCUAUGGGUUGUAAACUGCUUUUAUACAGGAAGAAACACUCUCACGUGUGAGGGCUUGACGGUACUGUAAGAAUAAGGAUCGGCUAACUCCGUGCCAGCAGCCGCGGUAAUACGGAGGAUCCAAGCGUUAUCCGGAAUCAUUGCGUUUAAAGGGUCCGUACGUGGGUA